Molecule: transfer RNA, 67 nt
Filed under: marine eukaryotic metagenome
Rfam family: tRNA
About the family: Transfer RNA (tRNA) molecules are approximately 80 nucleotides in length.
Source: RNAcentral
CAUAUAGCUCAGUUGGUAGAGCACUUCCUUGGUAAGGAAGAGGUCACCGGUUCAAAUCCGGUUAUGG